This is a long non-coding RNA of Pteropus alecto (black flying fox), 1767 nucleotides long. RefSeq lists it as uncharacterized. The transcript is spliced from 3 exons. The record is from RefSeq and is a predicted model, not a curated record. NCBI's taxonomy places the organism in Eukaryota, Metazoa, Chordata, Mammalia, Chiroptera, Pteropodidae.
ACCAGUCGAAUAGUAAGAAUUCAGAUAUAGCAGUUAUUUUGAUUCAGGAUGACCUGUGCUAAACUAUGUUCUUCUGAAAGGCAGGAGACACAGCAAUGAGGAUGGGCUUUUGUAACAGGGCACAGGAGGAUCUAGUGGACCCUUAUUGUUUAUAUCUUCAUAUUUUACAUCUGAUUAUACUAUUUUAAAAACAGAUAUGAUGGAACAUUAGUAAAGAAUAGCCUUUGGUGUCACGUGCAGAAGUAAAACUUGAGAGUUUAAAGAAAUUAGAACUUAUCCAACUGUGCCCAUACACAUUUGCUAACAUUUGGUGUUUGCUCACAAAGGCAGCGGAUGUUCAUUGUGUCCUUUCUGUGUGUGCAGGCCUGAGCAGAGUGCUGGGGAGAUACUGAUGCACUGAGCUGCCAUGACACCCGCCUUCUCGGAGAUCAUGGUCUAGGUAGAGAUGAAAGUUGUUUUGAAAAUGACUGGCAGGUUUUAUGAUGGCAAACUCCAGGGUGCUUUGGAAGUUCUGCAGGCAGACUUGUGACAUCAUCAUUUCCCUUGCUUCGAGGAGCAUGAUUUCUCUGUGUGCUGUUCCAAUUCCCUGGAGGGUGGAAGCCCAGGGCUUGGAUUUACAUCGCGGGUGCUAUUUUUUUUUUCCAAUGUUUAUGACUUUGAGGCAGGUGUAAUCUUCACUGGUGUUAGGAUUGCUACUUUGUGCUCUUUUAAUGUAUUCAUGAUGUGCGGGGGAUAUUUUCGGGAUGUGAUCAAUUCCAGUGAGAGGGAAGGAUUCUGUGACUGGAUGUUUAGACAAGUUGCUCUUUUUCUGCAGCUGGUUUUAGUCUGCCAAAAAAUGGCACAUCUUAUAAUAUUCACAGACUACAUUACCUCUAAAUCCACAAAUAUUUCGAGAACACUAAAAAUCAAAUCCAAAUUUCUUCAUAUUAAUAGAAAAUGGCAAAGCAACAGGCAAUACACAUUCCACUGAUACAUUCAGCUGUCUUUCACACUUAGCAAUUUCCUGAAAACUAGUUCACUGGGGCCCUAAACAUAUAAUAUACUAAUGAAUUACAACUAUUUCAGUUAGCUAUCCAUUCAUUGUUGAGACGGACUGUAAAUUACUUUUUAAUUUACCCUUCUUUUCUGAUUUGUGGAGAAAAUAAUACUUGUCCGUGUUUCUUAUUCAGCUUUUUACCAGAACAUUUUUUAUUGUGGCAAGAACACUUAAAAUGACAGCUAUGCUCUUAGCAAAGUUGUAAGUGUCCAAUACUGUAUUAUUGCCUACUGGCACAUUUUUAUAGUUGUCUUCUCUGUAGUCUCAGAAUUUUCCUGUUAGCUCCUUUUUUUUUUUUUAUGAGAGAUUAGAAAAUGUUUAGCCAUAAAGCAAGAGAAAGGCAAAGGCAAAAUUAAAAUGAAAGUUUCUGGUCUGUGCCUCUUAGUAUGACCGGAAGAAUACGAUGGCUUGCUGGGAGGAGCUCUGGACCAGGAAAUACGUUAAGCAGUCCCUUAACCUGGAGUGGGUCCCAUGGAUUCUUGAGUUCUGGUUUCCCUUUGGCAAAAUGAAAUCCACCAGUGCCUGUAUUUGGAGCCAGCCACGAGGAUGUCACCAAGAAGCGAUGACAGAUUGUUUUUGCCUCACUCCAGUCCUGGAAUCAGCCAUUUCCGAGAAUCUCUGGUUUUAAUGGAGGAUGGUAUUCAGAAACCCAGAUCUGGGGACUCGAUGUGCUAUUGGGAUGGCAUUACUCAAGGACCUCUAAGAAAAUAAAAUAAGAAAGACAUGUAUGU